CGCGGGGUAGAGCAGCUCGGUAGCUCGUCGGGCUCAUAACCCGGAGGCCGCAGGUUCAAAUCCUGCCCCCGCAACCA
RNAcentral lists this transfer RNA (77 nucleotides) under Desulfovibrio sp. RNAcentral describes it as "tRNA-Met". It matches the Rfam family "tRNA". From Rfam's summary of the family: Transfer RNA (tRNA) molecules are approximately 80 nucleotides in length. Their secondary structure includes four short double-helical elements and three loops (D, anti-codon, and T loops). Further hydrogen bonds mediate the characteristic L-shaped molecular structure. tRNAs have two regions of fundamental functional importance: the anti-codon, which is responsible for specific mRNA codon recognition, and the 3' end, to which the tRNAs corresponding amino acid is attached (by aminoacyl-tRNA synthetases). tRNAs cope with the degeneracy of the genetic code in two manners: having more than one tRNA (with a specific anti-codon) for a particular amino acid; and 'wobble' base-pairing, i.e. permitting non-standard base-pairing at the 3rd anti-codon position. The record is from RNAcentral. Lineage: Bacteria; Pseudomonadati; Thermodesulfobacteriota; Desulfovibrionia; Desulfovibrionales; Desulfovibrionaceae. RNAcentral also lists the same sequence under 1 other name.